RNAcentral lists this non-coding RNA (81 nucleotides) under Nitrospinota bacterium. RNAcentral's name for it is "Nitrospira bacterium c-di-GMP sequence". It matches the Rfam family "c-di-GMP-I-GGC riboswitch aptamer". Lineage: Bacteria; Pseudomonadati; Nitrospinota. The record is from RNAcentral.
CCAGAUAAAGCCAAACCCUCCGUGAGAAGGGGGCGGAAAGCGGCGGGUCUUAGUAAGACGAAGAUGGCCGAGCUGCCAAAG